GCUUUCUGCUAAGCCUCGGUCUUCUUCCUGGCAGGAGAGACCUUUGACCCAUGUGUAUCCUGAUCCGUGGCUAGGAAGUACCCAGUACGGCGGCGCGCCACUCGGGAGGCCUGUUCCAGGUAGCCUGAAUCUUCGACCCAACUCAGCCAAUGAAUAAGGAAGAAACUUAAGUGACAUGGGCCGGCAAUACACCAAAGUAUGCAGAUGACUGGCAGCUGAACCAAGGUGUUAAGCCUCUCUGGGAAUCAACAUUAAAACAAGAGCUCAGAAAUUCUUCCUAUGGUUUAGAAUAAAACUAAGAAUCUUUCUCUAAAUGUCUAAGGCCAAAAAGGCACCGGGUCAUGGUCCUCUCUGCCAUCCACAGGACUCUUCUUUCUGGCUUUAAACAUCUGCUGUUUGUUUACCUUGCCACCCAACCCAGGAGGCUAGCUGGCUUUGCUAAUAUACCCAACAGUCCCCUCAGACACACAUUCACAUCUUCCCCACGGACAUAUUUGUGGUUUGUGACAUUUUACAGGCUUGGAUGAAGCUGCCUGAGAAGUAUGAGAGAUAUGUCUCAUCUAGCAAAGUGGUCCGGGGCCCAGCCCCAAUAAUUGGCCUACUGCUCUGAUCCCAAGCCAGUGGAGACUGACCCCAUCAGCAGAGGUGUCCACUCAGAUAUCUUCCAACCCUUGUCAAACAUGUCUCCUCCCAUGUACAGUCUUCUCCUGGGAUAGAGGAUGCAAGGUAGCAGGGGCCAACUAUUUAGCUUUCUUGUUCCAACUUCAGGGCUCAGCAGAACUGCCACGGAAUUUCAAAAGCUUCGUCUUUUCCUUUUGUAGAGAGAACUUUAAGAGACACAGGGGAAUUGCCCCAAGGCACACAGCAGGUAGCAGUAGGCACAAGUUGUGCCAGGAUAGAAGCAGAGUCUAAAGCCAGUUGCACUUUCACCAACUAUGACUCUGACCCCAGUCCCUAAGCCUUCCGGCCUUUGUCCCCUUCUGUGUUAUUACCCAAUGCCUGAGAUGGCUAUCCAGUCCUGCCUGGAGCAAUCCCAGAGCAUGCCUGUUGUCACAGCACAACAAUUAGUAAAGCCACUGUCCUUCUCUUAGGGUCUUGGACAUGCUAACACUUCUAAGUGUGGCAAUUCGCUCAUGGUCUGUGUACACACUCCUCAUGAAGCCCAGCAGAAAUGGCUAGUUCUUCACAGAGGCCCAUGUGGCUGUCAGUAACCAAGGCAACCAUGACCAAUCAGCCAAGAUGGUCAGGGACAGUGAUGUGUCCUCUAGUGACUCAGGAAAAUCUAGUGGCUCCCGGGACACAGCCUUCCUCCCAUAAAGGGAAGAGAAUGAAAGUCUCUGGUUUUCACUUGUUGACAAGUCAUGUUGGAAAUAAAACUCUUGCCCAGUGUGGUGGCACACACCUUUGAUCCUAGCACUUGGGGAGGCAGAUCUCUUGAGUUUGAGGCCAGCCUGAUCUACAGAGUGAGUUCCAGGACAGUCAGGGAUAUGCAGAGAAACCCUGUCUUGAAAAACAAACAAACAAGAAGCCUUUAAGAAGCAUGAGGAUGAUGCCAGUGUUCAUGGGAGGGCACUAACUUUGUAGAAGGAGUAUGUUGUAUUUCUGCAUAAAAUAACAUGAAGAAGUUAAAGAGGGGGGGGGGGUGGAGAGGAUGCUCAGUGGAUAAAGCGCUUGCUGCACAGGUUUGAAUCCUCAGAAGCCCUGUGCAGGUCUAUAAUCCCAUGGCAGGACGGGAGGUGGAGAGAGGAGAAUCCCUGGGAGCUCUGAGGCCAGCUCGCCUAGAGUACUCAGUGGCAGACAUCAAGAGAUCCUGCCUCAAGCAUGCUGGAAUGCAUACAGGCCUCUGAAGUUGUCCUUCAACUGCCAUACAUGAGCCAAGACACACACAUGCACACACACACACACACACACACACACACACACACACGAAGAUGCAUGCACACACAUGCGAGUGUACCCAGAGACAGAGACAGAAAGAGGCAGAGAAAUUUAAAAGAGAAAAUUCAAAGAAAUUAUUGUAAAUUUGAUAGAAAUGUUUGCCUUCUCUGGUAUGUUCAAAUCUUCAACAUAUAAAAAGCAUUCACAUCUAAGCAAGAAAUGACCCUCGAUAGGAAAAAAACUGCCAAAUCAUACAAAUACGGGGGAGGAGGAGACCCUUUAUCCUUACAGCACGUACAAAGGCGUGGCGACUUAAAUGGCUUCAAGGUAGGUAACAAAAGGCACAUCAUUAUCAUGUGUAUUCUGUGGAACGUGGUUGGGCAAGCAGACAGACGAGUGAGUCUAAAUGGGAACACUUGUAAGAUCUGGAAGCAGUCGCUUUUACACUGUGUCCUAUGAAAGCCUGACUCUGAGCUUAGCGAUUCACUGGUGAAGUUUUCAGGACUUGUUAGAAGAUCAGCUACCAGAAUGUUCCUAACAGUGAGGGACAGGAGAGGACAAUUUUUCAUGCUCUGUCAUGGAGUGGGAUCAACCAUACUUAAUCCUGAAGCAAAGGUAUUGACACAGUAUUGAUUGGAAGAACUGUCUUAACCAAUCUUAUGAACCAAACUGUAUGAAGAGAAAAGUUCCCAUGGCGCCACCCUGCGGUAGCAGGCGCGUGCGCAUGCGCAUGACAACCUUCUUUAAGGGUCUGGGGCCUGAGUUGUGUGAUUUGCCUUCUUCAUCUUGCCUGCUCUAAGGAGCUAUCCAUCCAUCACAGUGAUUUACGUCAUGCGCUCUCAAGUUAAGGUGUCCUACUCCGAACCUAGCACUCUCGCCUAGUACCCACAGGAAGCGUGUUCACACUUGAGUUUUCUCAUCUACAGACUGGGAUCUGAUAUUACCCCAGCUAGUCCGAAGAUCAAAUGUUGCCGGGAUGAUCCCUGGUGAGUGUUCAGCAGGCAUAGCUCACAGGGUAAGAGGGAAAUGCCAGCUACACUGUCCUCAAGAGGAUACUAUGAGAAGCAUAGACGUGCAUUUUUCAUUAAAGAAAUUCAUAUUCA
Molecule: non-coding RNA, 2981 nt
Organism: Rattus norvegicus (Norway rat)
Lineage: Eukaryota; Metazoa; Chordata; Mammalia; Rodentia; Muridae
Source: RefSeq, a predicted model, not a curated record